RNAcentral lists this long non-coding RNA (1187 nucleotides) under Cricetulus griseus (Chinese hamster). Its description in RNAcentral is "lncRNA (ENSCGRG00000025740.1)". Lineage: Eukaryota; Metazoa; Chordata; Mammalia; Rodentia; Cricetidae. The record is from RNAcentral.
CCUACUCAUUCAUUUAUUUAACAAUUAAAAUAACACUGGAUGAAGUUGUUUCAAUUCCAGUUAAUCGAGAAAAUAAGGAACAGGUUGAAGCUCACAGAAAUCCUGCUGUAUUCAUAAGAGAUUUGCCCAUUACCUAAAAGCUUCUGGCCUCAACUCAAGUUUAGAGGAAUAACACAGCACAAACUUCUUGUUUCAGGUGUGUCCAAAUAAAAAGUUUAACACUGUCUCUCAGGAGGAGUUUUAGCCAAGCAUCCCUUAAGAAGUUACUCUCCAGAGAGGAACAGUAAGCGGCCAAUCAAAACACCAUAUCUCAUUAGCAAAUGGGAUACUAAAACAUGCCUCAUAUGCAACUCCUCCUUCCUGAAAGGAAAGUGUGUGUCAGGCACUGGAACAGACAAUCACAAAGACAAUUCAUGAUGAAACCCACAGUUGUUGUGAAAGGAGAGUUUAUGCACAGCAGCUCAGAAGGUCAGAGAUAACAGAAUAAGGUCUCCAAGAUGGAAAAGGUAUUCAACAGGAAGAGUGGACAAUCUGAAUUAAAUGGGCUAAAGCAUAUUAGAGGGGAAAUCCGUGAAACAUUCUUUUUUAUCUGUGGAAUGCUGUCUGUUGUUCCACCUGCUAAGCUCAACAUUAACUGCAAGAACACAAACAAAAGGAAGAAACAAAUGUCUGCCCUAGUCAUAAACAGCUUUGAAGAUGAGGAAAGACCCUCAAGCAUUCUUCUUUACUUUGUCAUCCUUCUCUGAGCCCAUUCCACCAAGUCUUAGAAGUUAAAAUUGCAGACAAGAGGAAGGCCUUGGAUUCCAGGGAAUUUUUCCCACCUGCAUGUUUUCUACCAGCCCACUUGAUCUAAACAAGGUUCUAACACCGCAAACAAUAAGACAUGUUGUAUGUUUUGGAUCUUCCAUAUCCCCCUGAAGAUCGUUUAUUGAAGCUGGUAGCACUGCUGGAAGAUGGACUUUUAGAAGUGUAAAGAGGCUACGCUUGCACAAAAGCGGAGGAUGGGAAGGAAUGCUGCAAAAUUCUCCCUUCUAGCCAUGCUAUGCCUGUCACACCCAUGAACACUAGACGCUGGGCAGGUCAGCAAGACCGGCGCAUAAUCAAGCAAGCCAACCUCAGUGCUUAGCUGUCAAUCUCUGUUCUGCUUCCAUCAUCUACUGGAUGAAGGCUCUAGGAUGACAUAUAAG